GCCGCCUUAGCUCCAAUUGGUAGAGCGCCUCACUUGUAAUGAGAUUGUUAUCGGUUCGAGUCCGAUAGGCGGCUCCA
RNAcentral lists this transfer RNA (77 nucleotides) under Nakamurella antarctica. RNAcentral describes it as "Nakamurella sp. s14-144 tRNA-Thr". It matches the Rfam family "tRNA". Rfam says of the family: Transfer RNA (tRNA) molecules are approximately 80 nucleotides in length. Their secondary structure includes four short double-helical elements and three loops (D, anti-codon, and T loops). The record is from RNAcentral. Lineage: Bacteria; Bacillati; Actinomycetota; Actinomycetes; Nakamurellales; Nakamurellaceae.